This 201-nucleotide ribosomal RNA is filed under the name uncultured Actinomycetales bacterium. RNAcentral's name for it is "partial 16S ribosomal RNA". It matches the Rfam family "Bacterial small subunit ribosomal RNA", at positions 130 to 334 of the family's 1533-position model. The record is from RNAcentral. Lineage: Bacteria; Bacillati; Actinomycetota; Actinomycetes; Actinomycetales.
CCUGCACUUCGGGAUAAGCUUGGGAAACUGGGUCUAAUACCGGAUAGGAGCCAUCUUUAGUGUGGUGGUUGGAAAGUUUUUUCGGUGUAGGAUGAGCUCGCGGCCUAUCAGCUUGUUGGUGGGGUAAUGGCCUACCAAGGCGGCGACGGGUAGCCGGCCUGAGAGGGUGUACGGCCACAUUGGUACUGAGAUACGGCCCAG